This 430-nucleotide ribosomal RNA is filed under the name Dendropsophus aff. minutus. RNAcentral describes it as "partial 16S ribosomal RNA". It matches the Rfam family "Bacterial large subunit ribosomal RNA", at positions 1855 to 2484 of the family's 2925-position model. Lineage: Eukaryota; Metazoa; Chordata; Amphibia; Anura; Hylidae. The record is from RNAcentral.
CAGCCUGCCAGUGACUAAGUUCAACGGCCGCGGUAUCCUAACCGUGCGAAGGUAGCGUAAUCACUUGUUCUUUAAAUGAGGACUAGUAUGAAUGGCACCACGAAGGUUAUGCUGUCUCCUUUUUCUAAUCAAUGAAACUGAUCUCCCCGUGAAGAAGCGGGGAUACAACUAUAAGACGAGAAGACCCUAUGGAGCUUUAAACCAUGUAACACUGGCUCAUACAUUAAAAUAUUCCAGAAUUUCUAAUAAUUACUCUAGCCACCAUGAUUACUAGUUUUAGGUUGGGGUGACCACGGAGCAAAAAUUAACCUCCAUGUUAAACGGAGCUACUCCUGAGCCAUAAGCCACGACUUUAAGCACUAAUAAAUUAAUAUUAAUUGACCCAAUAUUUUUGAUCAACGAACCAAGUUACCCUAGGGAUAACAGCGCA